GACGAACGCUGGCGGCGUGCUUAACACAUGCAAGUCGAACAGUAAGGCCCUUCGGGGUACACGAGUGGCGAACGGGUGAGUAACACGUGGGUGAUCUGCCCUGCACUUCGGGAUAAGCCUGGGAAACUGGGUCUAAUACCGGAUAGGACUCCUGGCUUCAUGGUUGGGGGUGGUAAAGCUUUUGCGGUGUGGGAUGGGCCCGCGGCCUAUCAGCUUGUUGGUGGGGUAAUGGCCUACCAAGGCGACGACGGGUAGCCGGCCUGAGAGGGUGACCGGCCACACUGGGACUGAGAUACGGCCCAGACUCCUACGGGAGGCAGCAGUGGGGAAUAUUGCACAAUGGGCGCAAGCCUGAUGCAGCGACGCCGCGUGAGGGAUGACGGCCUUC
RNAcentral lists this ribosomal RNA (388 nucleotides) under uncultured bacterium. RNAcentral's name for it is "bacterial SSU rRNA". It matches the Rfam family "Bacterial small subunit ribosomal RNA", at positions 28 to 419 of the family's 1533-position model. The record is from RNAcentral.